AUCGCUUCUCGGCCUUUUGGCUAAGAUCAAGUGUAGUAUCAAUGUAAUGGGUUUCUUUUGUAAUCCUAUGUAUUUCAUUUUCUGCAUUUAAAAAUGGUUAAAUCCUU
Oryctolagus cuniculus (rabbit) is the source of this 107-nucleotide small nuclear RNA. Its record names the gene U2. It matches the Rfam family "U2 spliceosomal RNA". Rfam says of the family: U2 is a small nuclear RNA (snRNA) component of the spliceosome (involved in pre-mRNA splicing). The record is from Ensembl. Lineage: Eukaryota; Metazoa; Chordata; Mammalia; Lagomorpha; Leporidae.